AGCGAACGCUGGCGGCAUGCUUAACACAUGCAAGUCGCACGGUCAGCAAUGGCAGUGGCGGACGGGUGAGUAACGCGUAGGAAUCUAUCUUCUGGUGGGGGACAACCGUGGGAAACUACGGCUAAUACCGCAUGAUACCUGAGGGUCAAAGGCGCGAGUCGCCGGGAGAGGAGCCUGCGUCUGAUUAGCUAGUUGGUGGGGUAAAGGCCUACCAAGGCGACGAUCAGUAGCUGGUCUGAGAGGAUGAUCAGCCACAUUGGGACUGAGACACGGCCCAAACUCCUACGGGAGGCAGCAGUGGGGAAUAUUGGACAAUGGGGGCAACCCUGAUCCAGCAAUGCCGCGUGUGUGAAGAAGGUCUUCGGAUUGUAAAGCACUUUUGGCAGGGACGAUGAUGACGGUACCUGCAGAAUAAGCCCCGGCUAACUUCGUGCCAGCCGCCGCAGUAACAC
RNAcentral lists this ribosomal RNA (452 nucleotides) under uncultured bacterium. Its description in RNAcentral is "bacterial SSU rRNA". It matches the Rfam family "Bacterial small subunit ribosomal RNA", at positions 29 to 526 of the family's 1533-position model. The record is from RNAcentral.